RNAcentral lists this unclassified non-coding RNA (201 nucleotides) under Hevea brasiliensis (rubber tree). Lineage: Eukaryota; Viridiplantae; Streptophyta; Magnoliopsida; Malpighiales; Euphorbiaceae. The record is from RNAcentral.
GUAUUUAUACAGCUUAUUGUAACCGCCUAUAACAACCUAACAACCUUGCUAACAAUUCUAGCUACAACUCUAACUAUUUUCAGACAUCCUUGACUGCUGUUAUUGACUUUUUCCUGAACCUAAUCCUCCCGUAUGUGACACCUGAGUCAGAAAAAUAUAAGUCAUAAAUGUGAUGCAGCUGAUGUGAAAGAGGCCACAAAU